Molecule: long non-coding RNA, 385 nt
Filed under: Elaeis guineensis (African oil palm)
Lineage: Eukaryota; Viridiplantae; Streptophyta; Magnoliopsida; Arecales; Arecaceae
Description: long non-coding RNA (EGUI_LNC048240)
Source: RNAcentral
CACAAACUGGAUAUGACUCAGAAGUCAACGGACUCAGUAGCCCAAAUUUCUCCAAUUUGUUAACCGUGUCUUCCGCUAUAUGACCUAGCCUUAGGUGCCACAGAUACCUAUCAUUUAGACUAUCUCUAGGCCUUUUAAUUCCCAUGGCAUUCACAUUUUGCUCGAUAUGAAAUACAGAUAUAUCAAUAUGUAGCUGAUAGAGACCAUUAAUAAGAAAAUCAUUUACAACUUUAUUAUUUUCAUAAAAUAUGUUACAAUGGUUCUUAUGAAAGCUAAUCACAUAGCCUUCUUGUGCUAAACAUGAAACAGAAAUCAAAUUCCUGCUUGCUGCAGGCACAUAAUAACAAUCUCUAAAAACUAAAUCUAAUCCUAACGGUAAUCGCAG